This is a non-coding RNA of Peromyscus maniculatus bairdii (prairie deer mouse), 402 nucleotides long. The record is from RefSeq and is a predicted model, not a curated record. NCBI's taxonomy places the organism in Eukaryota, Metazoa, Chordata, Mammalia, Rodentia, Cricetidae.
AUGCAGCAGCAUGGCCUGCUGGGUCCAGGUGUUAGAGGCAGUGGUGGUAAUUCUCUAACAGAUUGUGAGCGGGAGAUACCCUUUCUUCUUUGAUCCUGAUGUUUCCAGGACACUGUGAAUCUGGGAAAUCUCAAGAAGGAGAAAGGUAGCUGAUACCUGGGCAGGAGGAGAAGAAGAGAGAGUCACAGAGCCCCAAAACAUGAGAAGCUGUGGAUUCCUUCAGAUUAAUAUAGUUUGAUCAAGGAAGACCCCCUAAAAGAUCUCUGAUGGGAAUGAUGGCCCAUGCCAAACCUUGCCAAGACAAGCCGUGUACACAGCACCUCCCAGCACUAUGGAAGCCAGCCAGUAGGAAUGAAGUCUCUGGGCCAGUACCAGCUUGUCUUUUCCAUGUUCAGUGGCUCA